GAGGUUAUAGCUCAGUGAUAGAGUGUGUGCUUAGCAUGCACGAGGUCCUGGGUUCAAUCCCUAGUACCUCCA
This 72-nucleotide transfer RNA is filed under the name Camelus bactrianus (Bactrian camel). It matches the Rfam family "tRNA". Rfam says of the family: Transfer RNA (tRNA) molecules are approximately 80 nucleotides in length. The record is from Rfam by way of RNAcentral. RNAcentral also lists the same sequence under 1 other name. Lineage: Eukaryota; Metazoa; Chordata; Mammalia; Artiodactyla; Camelidae.